CCAGUUUGGAGUGGGGAGGCGAGAGAAGGCCGGGGGCGGGGCCGCAGGGCAGGAGACCUGUUGAUCGCAGGUAGCGCAGGCUGGCCGGGGUUCCCUCGGGACCGGGGCGACUGCGCAUGCUCGGUGGCGGUUUCGGGCCAGUAGCCGAGCGGCGGUGACGAACCGGCUUCUCUGCUGCGGUGGUUGCGGUUGCUGCGAUGGCGAUGUGAGGGGGCCCGGGGAGGGAUGGUGCUGACCCGGGUAGGGCCGUCUUUUUCCAGCAGGACAACGAGCUCCUCCGUCCAACAGGCGGUGGCGGAGGACAAGCCGGGCGAAAGGGUUGAAGAUCAACCGGAUUAUGUAUUUCGUUCUGGAAUCUCAAAGCAGUCCACAAACAGUAAAUUCUUCCUUAUGUUGUCUGUGUCAGGGGGAACAAUAUAUUUUCAAUAA
This is a long non-coding RNA of Ursus maritimus (polar bear), 429 nucleotides long. NCBI's taxonomy places the organism in Eukaryota, Metazoa, Chordata, Mammalia, Carnivora, Ursidae. The record is from Ensembl.